Carassius auratus (goldfish) is the source of this 2682-nucleotide RNA transcript. It is a transcript of the gene named serine/threonine-protein kinase pim-2-like, with no coding region annotated. The record is from RefSeq and is a predicted model, not a curated record. Lineage: Eukaryota; Metazoa; Chordata; Actinopteri; Cypriniformes; Cyprinidae. The transcript is spliced from 9 exons.
ACUACGCAAAUAUUUCCACAUAGUGAUGUAGACAUGUGGGGGCGUGUUUAAACAAGGCGUUUUUAAGAGGGCGUGGCAGUCUUAAAUUUUACAAAGAAUAUAUCUUUGAAUUUGAGACUUUAGUCUUUGCAGCUUUACAUGUAUUCAUUGAGCAACAAGAGCUUGUAACACUCCAAAGAGAAUGGAAAAAUUAAAUUAAGAAGGGAAUUUCAACAUAUCUUCUACAUUUCAUCAGGUGAAUAUAUAAAGUAUUAUAAUAUAAAUAUCUGAAUUGAUGAUAGCUGGUGGAGAGUGGCACAGGCCCUCCAUACUGAGGCAUUAAUUAGCCUUAGGACACAGGCUCUUUAACUUGUAGAUAAAUGAUAGUUAAUGAUGGUAAUCAAAGGUUCAUGAUAGUGCGCAUUAAUGUUUUUUAUAUAUGUAUAAAAAUAUGGCUGCAAGCAGCAAUCAUCAUAGUUGAAGCACCAAUGGCUCAGAUGGAAAAUAUGGACACCAGUGGCUUAUGUGCUAUGUAAAAAAAAGUUACAUAACAAUAUAGCCUUCAAUUACAUAUUAAUACAGACAGACAGCAGCAGGUAUUUUAGGCUGUCACUUUAAUUUCCAACUAUCCACUGCAUUUACGAAGUGGGGAGUUAUUUUCUCAUAUUUUUGUGCUUUAAAGUUUCAUGUAUAAAACGGCUAUAUUUACAACCCGCGAUGUACACGAUACAACAAAUUAUAUCAAGUUAAUAUCAAAUAUCAUUAGAUUUUAAUGCUAUCGUUCGAAAGGAGACGACGUCACGCAUUCCACCCCCCACCCCCCCUUUCAUUCUGCGCUAGCGUUUAUGACGUCACAGGCUUAUUACAGUAUAUAAAGGCGCGAAAAAAUCACUUGCUCAUUUUAUGGGUUGAAGUGUCAGAGUAUCUGAUAGCGACAAUUAGCGAGUGGUCAUUCGUAAUUUAUUUUAUCAUGGGACUGCUUUCAAGACUAAAAAAAGCGGCUGGUUUGGAGUGUGUACGCGAUCCCAGUGUACAAACCAAAGACUCCCUCAACAGCUCAGAGAACCGUCACCCUGAUCACCCUGAUGCUGUUGACACUGAUGGAGGGAGAAAUGAGAAGAAGACCAAGAACUUCUGGAAGUGGCCCGCUCUUCACGUUCCUUGCUGCAGAGCUGGAACAUAUGACCUGGUCAAAACUGAGAAGAAAUGCGGGAUAGAGGCGGAAAUAAAUCGGAGAUAUAGCAAUGCUCCAGCUCUUGAAGUCCUCCCCGCUGUUGAGGAACAGCAGAAACAGGAUGUCCUGGACAAGGGCCAGAGUGUACACGAACCCUCUGUACUUUCCCCCAUCAUGGCAGAGAACCGUCAACCUAAUCCACCUGAUGAGGCUCCUGCUGGAGCUGCUGAGACUGAUGGAGAGAGAACGGAGAAGAAGAAGAAGAGCUUCUGGAAGUGGCCCACUCUUCACUUUCCUUGCUGCAGUGCUGGAACAUAUGACCUGGUCAAAAUUGAGAAGAAAUGCGGGAUAGAGGCGGAAAAAUAUCAGGGACAUAGCGAUGCUCCAGCUGAAGACCUACUCUCAAGGUCAGGCAGCCAUCAUCCUAAUCCACCUGAUGAGGAGCCUGCUGGAGCUGCUGAGACUGAUGGAGAGAGAACGGAGGAAGUCCUCCUCACUGCUGAGGAACGGCUUGUGCAGGACAUCCUGGACAAGGGCCACAUUUGCAAGUAUACAGUCGGCUGCAAGUUGGGUGAAGGAGGAUGUGGUAGUGUUUAUGAAGGGACUCGCUGCAAGGAUGGACUUCAGGUGGCAGUGAAAUGUUCUAGCAAGACGCCAAACAUGCCAUCUAUCAAAGUGCCUGGUCAUCCCAAACGCCUUCCCAUUGAGAUUGGCCUGUUGCUCAUGGCCAAUAAGGGCCCCAGCGUUCCUCAGAUCAUUCAGUUGCUUGACUGGGAGGAUGACGCAGACCACUACGUGAUGGUCAUGGAGCGCCCCAUUCCUUGCAUGGACUUGUUUAGUUUUGUGGAGAACCAUGGAGGAAGCCUUGAUGAGGGGACGGCACGAAAUAUUAUGCGGCAGGUCACUGAUGCCGCUAAAACUUGCUGUAAGCGUGGCAUCUUCCAUCGUGAUUUCAAACUGGAGAACCUUCUGGUGAAUGAGGACACCAUGGAAGUCAAAUUAAUUGACUUCGGGUGCGGUGCGCUCAUGAAGAAAUCUGCCUUCAAAGUCUUCCAUGGCACAAGAGUGUACUGUCCUCCCGAGUUCUACAUGAAGGGCAGGUACCACGCAAAACCAACGACAGUGUGGACUCUAGGGUUCAUCCUGUAUGAAAUGCUGUGUGGAGAAACUCCUACAUCCUACGACCGAAGCAUGAUCACUGUGAAGCUCUGGACCAGACCCGGCUUGUCAAAAGGUGAGAUCUUCAUCAGACAACAAAGAACUCUAAAUCAUACAAAAAAGUCCAAUAGCUUCAAAGAGAUCAGGUGUAAUGUAUAAACGUAUGAUCAAAUGUCUUUCUCGUCUUUUUGCACAGAAUGCUGCCAGAUGAUUUGCGAUUGUCUGCAGCCCAAGCCAGGGAAGAGACUCAGUCUGGACAAGAUGCAUCUCCAUGACUGGUUUAAGGUCACGGAGUAAGACACAAAGAACCUCAGAAACAACUCUUGUCACGGCCACCCUGUUGUUUUCUGUCUUCAGUCAGCUUUGCGUCU